RNAcentral lists this ribosomal RNA (346 nucleotides) under uncultured bacterium. Its description in RNAcentral is "partial 16S ribosomal RNA". It matches the Rfam family "Bacterial small subunit ribosomal RNA", at positions 355 to 693 of the family's 1533-position model. The record is from RNAcentral.
UGGGGAAUAUUGCACAAUGGGCGCAAGCCUGAUGCAGCCAUGCCGCGUGUAUGAAGAAGGCCUUCGGGUUGUAAAGUACUUUCAGCGGGGAGGAAGGUGUUGAGGUUAAUAACCUCAGCAAUUGACGUUACCCGCAGAAGAAGCACCGGCUAACUCCGUGCCAGCAGCCGCGGUAAUACGGAGGGUGCAAGCGUUAAUCGGAAUUACUGGGCGUAAAGCGCACGCAGGCGGUCUGUCAAGUCGGAUGUGAAAUCCCCGGGCUCAACCUGGGAACUGCAUUCGAAACUGGCAGGCUAGAGUCUUGUAGAGGGGGGUAGAAUUCCAGGUGUAACGGUGAAAUGCGUAG